AUGCCUGACUUCUCUGGGGAAUUAGAGCUCCGUGGCCCCAAGGCUCAGAGGCUUGGUCUGCUGGGCCGGGUGUCCACCUCGGCUUCCCAAAGGUUGAUCCAGCUGGAGGGAAAUGUGGACAAUGGGGACGAGAAAGUGAGGCUGUCGGUGUCCCAGGCCCCGAACUGCCUCCAGGCCUCAGUGGCCCAAGAGCAAGGGAGCCAAGAGGAGAGCGUGGUGCUGCGGGCCUGUGCCCACCGGUGGACGGCUGAGGUAGAGGCCCUGCUCCAGGACAGUGGGCGGCCUGUCCAGCCCCUGGGGCGCUUGACCCUGCAGGCUGCCAACCAGAGCCUCCGCUUGGCCGCACUCGGCUGCCAGGGGACCCUGCUGGGCCACAUGGAGUCCCGGAUUGCUGCUCUCGGGUCCCAGGUGCAAGCUCGGCUGGAGGAGAAGAUCCGCAACUUGGACGCCUACGUGAGAAGGUUCCAGCGCCUGAUGCAGCCGACAGGCACCCUGGACAGUGCAGCAGGCCCCCUUCCGUGGCUGUCCCGGGAGGGCCUGGGGGCCGUGUGGGGGAGUGGCCGGGCGGUGGCCACACUGUGGGGCCAGAGCCAGGCCAGGCAGACGCUGAUACAACGUGUGCCGCUCUACCUGGAGAGGCUGCAGGAGGGGCUGGAGCAGCUGCGGAAUGAGCUGGAACGGCCCCUGGCCACGCUGAAGGACGCUUACUUGGAGGUGACACUGCGGCCCUUGGACGAGGUGUGGCGGGAGCGGGCCGAGGAGGCCAUGCAGUGGCUGCAGGCCUGGGUGUCCCGGAUGCCGGGGCCCUGGGUGUCCAGGCCCAUCGGGGCAGCACUAGAGUCCGUGAGGGGCGCCCUGGAGCUGGCCGCUGAGCAGAUGCUGUCUUGGAUGGAAGCUGUGAUCUCACAGGCACUGAGGAGGCUCUGCAAACCCUUGCUGGACCUGUACCGCUUCUCGGCCAGGGACCGCUCAGUGGUGGUGACGCUGCCGCUGCUGCCUGUGGGAGACGAGCCCCUGGAUGUGGCCCGCGUGACCAGCCACCUGGUGGAGGAGAAGCUGCUGCGGCCGCUCCGAGAGCUGUACAGGACCAGCAUGCUGGCUGGGUACCACCGGCUCAGACGCCACCUGCAGGGGAGCCCCUCUGGAUACCAUGCUGUGGUGGCUGGGGCCAGGCACGUGGUGACCUUUGACGGCCGGGUGUGGGGUCUCAGCACCCACUGUGGCAGCCUGCUGCUGGCCAGGGACUUCGCUCACGACACGUUCUCACUGACGCUGAGCCGGGCAGGCUCAGGGCUCACGUCCCUGACUGUAGCGCUGAACCGCAGCACCCUGGUCUUCUACCCCAGCCUGAAGACCUACAGGCUGUACAACAACUCCCUGCCUGGGGAGAGCUGUCUGGACCUGGUUUUGCCUCCGCCUCCUGCCAAGACCAGGAUCGAGCUGACCAGUGAGGACGGCGUCUCCAUCGCCUGUGACGUCCAAGCCGGCCUCUGCAGCCUGACUCUGGGCGUCUGGCAGCACGGCCUGUCCGCCGGCUUCCUGGGCACCAAUGACAAUGAGGCAGACAAUGAGCUGAUGCUGCCAGACGGCUCGGUGGCCAACAGCCUGGAGGAGUUCACGCUUGCCUGGCAGGUGGGUAGUGACUGCAGGGCCGUGGAGAAGACUCAGCUGGCAUGCCUAGGACAGAGCCCCACCUGCCAGGCUUUCUUCCAGGACCCCUACUCCAGCCUGGGGAACUGCUUCGGGGUGGUGGACCCCACACCCUUCCUCAACCUGUGCCUCCAGGACACCUGUGGCACCCAAGAGCUCCAAACUGCCUGCACCCUGGCGGCCACCUACAUUCACCUGUGUGCCCGGGGAUUCGUGCCCAUGGACCCUCCUCCACAGUGUGUUUGAGAUUUUGCCUGAGCCAGCACCAGGCUGCCAAGGAUUUCAGACUCACCUACCACAAACCCGUUCCAUCACCAAGGUCACAGUUCUUGUCUGGGGCAGAAUGACCAGCAUAAAAAAACAGGAAGCUCAGAGAAGAUCAGGAAAAAUACAGAUCCAGGAAAGAAGAGCCAUUAGUCAAUGAUUUCAAAAUGCUUUCUGGGAGCAGUAAAGCCCACACUGGUCUGGAUAAUUCUCCACCUUCCUCAGCACCUGCACUGUGGUCUAGGAGACAGCCCAACCCGCAGGACCCACCUCUGGAGGGAGAGAGCCAUGCCAGCAACUCUUCCUGUCCAAGAUGUUUAUUCACUCAUUCAGCUGCUGUCUCCAAAGCCUUUGCUGUAUGAGCCAGACUGCCCCAGGGUCUUUCUAGACCAGGACUGGCUUCCCCUGCCCUCUGCACAGGUCUCCCCUAAGGCCUGAGGCUCCUUGAGGGAAUUGAUGGUCCCAAAUCCCUUAAUCCCAAGGCUGGUUGGGUGCUUCCCUCUUUGGGUUAGAUCCUGACUCUCGGUCUCAUUGUUUCAGGGGGCACUUGAGAAGGGCCAGUGGAUGCUAUGGGCACCUGGGCACUCAGACCCCAAGUAUGCAGCCUUCAAAGCUGUUCACUUNNNNNNNNNNNNNNNGGGGAGGCUUUACCCUUGAGUUUUCAACUGAAAAAUAAAGCUGGCAGAAUCCAAGAAGGCAUCCAUUAGAUUGCUGGGGUCAGCCAUCCACUGGCGAGAUGCGGGGUGGGCCUUGAGUGGCUGUGAAACCUCCUGCCAGUAGGGGGCCCCCAGAGCCCUCUCGAAACUGAGUUCUAGUGUCCAGAUUCCAGAGUGACAGGUGAAGAAGUGUCAGCCUCGAGGAGUGGGGUGACCAGAAGGCCAGACGCGAGGCUCGGCUGUCCCUGGCCUCCCUGACCCACAGCAGGUGCUCAGUGAAGAUGAGAAGAAGGAACUCUAGAGACUCUUAGCGUUUUCCGGAGUGAAUGGGAAUGGGGAAGCCAGAACUGCCCGUUCCCAUACUCCGGAAGGAAGAGAGGGGGAAGGGGUGCCAUGACUGAGCUUGCACCGUGUUGCCAUGGCUACAACCAAAAGACCCCAGAGUCCAAGCACUGCUCUUUGAAAGAUGUUUGCUCUCUUCUCAGACCUUAUUAAUAACCUGAUGAGGGGUGGAUGAUCCCGUGUAAUGGAAGAAGCAGCAGGCUCAGGGAGCCCAGGGGGCUUACCCAAGGUCACACAGCUAGCAGACGGCCAGGCUGGCAUGAUCUGGGCCUGUCUGCCCCCAAGGCUGCCCAGCCUCCACCUUCCCUCUUCUGCUUUCACAUUAGCCUUGUGCCGCACACAGGUGCACCUCAUUUUACAGCACUUUGCAGAUACAGCGGGUUUUUUAACAGAUCAAAGGCAUGUGGCAACCCUGCAUCAAGGAACUCCAUCAGUACCUUUUCUAAGAGCACUGCUUGCUUCAUGUCUCUGUGUCACAUUUUGGUAAUUCUCAAAAUAUUUCAGACUUUUUCACUGUUAUUAUAUGUAUUAUGGUGACCUGUGAGCUUUGAUGUUACUAUGACAGCUAGUUAGCAUUUUUUAGCAAUAAAGUACUUAAUUGAGGGAUGCACAUUGUUUGUUUAGACACAAUGCUAUUGCACACUUAAUAGACUACUGUAUAGUAUAAACGUAGCUUUUAUACGUAGUAGGAAGCCAAAAACUUUGUGUGACUCUCUUGCGG
Molecule: long non-coding RNA, 3633 nt
Organism: Camelus dromedarius (Arabian camel)
Lineage: Eukaryota; Metazoa; Chordata; Mammalia; Artiodactyla; Camelidae
Source: Ensembl